GGUCCCUUAGCUCAGUUGGUUAGAGCACCUGACUCAUAAUCAGGGAGUCGUAGGAUCAUGCCCUACAGGGACCACCA
Molecule: transfer RNA, 77 nt
Filed under: Bacteroidales bacterium
Lineage: Bacteria; Pseudomonadati; Bacteroidota; Bacteroidia; Bacteroidales
Description: tRNA-Ile
Rfam family: tRNA
About the family: Transfer RNA (tRNA) molecules are approximately 80 nucleotides in length. Their secondary structure includes four short double-helical elements and three loops (D, anti-codon, and T loops).
Source: RNAcentral